This 459-nucleotide ribosomal RNA is filed under the name uncultured bacterium. RNAcentral describes it as "partial 16S ribosomal RNA". It matches the Rfam family "Bacterial small subunit ribosomal RNA", at positions 338 to 795 of the family's 1533-position model. The record is from RNAcentral.
CCUACGGGAGGCAGCAGUGAGGAAUAUUGGUCAAUGGCCGAGAGGCUGAACCAGCCAAGUCGCGUGAGGGAGGACGGCCCUAAGGGUUGUAAACCUCUUUUGUCGGGGAGCAAAGCGCGUCACGUGUGCGUCAUUGAGCGUACCCGAAGAAAAAGCAUCGGCUACCUCCGUGCCAGCAGCCGCGGUAAUACGGAGGAUGCGGGCGUUAUCCGGAUUUAUUGGGUUUAAAGGGUGAGCAGGCGGAAGAUAAAGUCAGCGGUGAAAUUGAGGGGCUCAACCUCGUCGAGCCGUGUAAACUGGGUUUCUAGAGUGAGCGAGAGGUAUGCGGAAUGCGUGGUGUAGCGGUGAAAUGCAUAGAUAUCACGCAGAACCCCGAUUGCGAAGGCAGCAUACCGGCGCUCAACUGACGCUGAGGCACGAAAGCGUGGGUAUCGAACAGGAUUAGAUACCCGAGUAGUC